Molecule: ribosomal RNA, 253 nt
Filed under: uncultured bacterium
Lineage: Bacteria
Description: partial 16S ribosomal RNA
Rfam family: Bacterial small subunit ribosomal RNA
Source: RNAcentral
UACGUAGGGUGCGAGCGUUAAUCGGAAUUACUGGGCGUAAAGCGUGCGCAGGCGGUUCGUUAAGUCAGAUGUGAAAUCCCAGGGCUUAACCUGGGAACUGCGUUUGAAACUGGAAGGCUAGAGUGUGGCAGAGGGGGGUGGAAUUCCACGUGUAGCAGUGAAAUGCGUAGAGAUGUGGAGGAACACCGAUGGCGAAGGCAGCCCCCUGGGCUAACACUGACGCUCAUGCACGAAAGCGUGGGGAGCAAACAGG